GACGAACGCUGGCGGCGUGCUUAACACAUGCAAGUCGAACGAUGAAGCCGGAGCUUGCUCUGGUGAAUUAGUGGCGAACGGGUGAGUAACACGUGAGUAACCUGCCCUUGACUCUGGGAUAACUGCGGGAAACUGUAGCUAAUACCGGAUACGACCCUCGGAGGCAUCUCCUGGGGGUGGAAAGAAUUUCGGUCAAGGAUGGACUCGCGGCCUAUCAGCUAGUGGGUGGGGUGAAGGCUCACCAAGGCGACGACGGGUAGCCGGCCUGAGAGGGUGACCGGACACACUGGGACUGAGACACGGCCCAGACUCCUACGGGAGGCAGCAGUGGGGAAUAUUGCACAAUGGGCGCAAGCCUGAUGCAGCAACGCCGCGUGAGGGAUGACGGCCUUCGGGUUGUAAACCUCUUUUAGCAGGGAAGAAGCGAAAGUGACGGUACCUGCAGAAAAAGCACCGGCUAACUACGUGCCAGCCGCCGCAGUAA
RNAcentral lists this ribosomal RNA (484 nucleotides) under uncultured bacterium. Its description in RNAcentral is "partial 16S ribosomal RNA". It matches the Rfam family "Bacterial small subunit ribosomal RNA", at positions 28 to 523 of the family's 1533-position model. The record is from RNAcentral.